This 70-nucleotide transfer RNA is filed under the name Bujurquina mariae. Its description in RNAcentral is "tRNA-Tyr". It matches the Rfam family "tRNA". From Rfam's summary of the family: Transfer RNA (tRNA) molecules are approximately 80 nucleotides in length. Their secondary structure includes four short double-helical elements and three loops (D, anti-codon, and T loops). Lineage: Eukaryota; Metazoa; Chordata; Actinopteri; Cichliformes; Cichlidae. The record is from RNAcentral.
GGUAAAAUGGCUGAGAGUUAAGCGGUGGAUUGUAGUCCCAUGAACAAAGGUUUAAGUCCUUUUUUUAUCA